UCUGUGUGUGUAUAUGUCCAAGUUCAAUUAAAAUUAUUCUGCGCAUGCGUAGAAUUUAAAAACAAGAUGGCGGAGCCAACAGCACCGACUGGGUAACCGUUUCGGGGGUGUGGCAUACCACUACCAGUUUGGCCAAACUGGGCCAAACUCAUAGUAACCCAUCUCUGCCUGGCAUGUAUGCCUACAUGGGGUGUGGGCCUAAGAUUACUAGUUUACAGUCUAGCUAGUGACAAUUAAUUACAAAUAUCUAACAAAACUGAACCCUACUUUAUUCACCAGAUAGGACCAGAUUAUUAUGGUACUUUUGUAUAUUUCAAUCUUUUAUAUUGAAGUACAUACUAAUGGAUGCAUCCGCAGCAAACUACUAUGACAUCAUAAAAAGGACACUGUGUUGAGAUCAUCAUGUAUGGUGCAGUAAAGCUCUUGCGUCCUCAGAAGGGAAGAAAAUAUGCCAAUCAAGGCAAUGCAUGAUGACAUUUUCAUGCCUGUUUUGUCAUUUCCACCUCUGGGACCAGCCUCCCCGCAGAUGCCCAUCUAUACUGUCCUUUUUCCACUCAUUGUACCAUUUCUGUUUCUGUAAUUUGAAGGUUGCACCAAUGUUCAGUUUGUAGAAGAUCCUUGAGCUCUGUCUCUCGUUUCUGCAAGGAUGAUCUGAUCUGUUCCAGAUUGGUUUUAACUUCCAACAGAAAUUUCUUUUCUGGUAAAUCAUCUUGUGCGUCUUCGAUAUCCACCUGAGUGAUGCCAAGAAGUUUUGAUAUAUUGCCUCAAAAAUGGAAAAUGGAAUCAGUCAUCUCGCCUAGCAGUUAUCAAGGAAACCAUGACCACUGAUGGUGGCAUUGACUGUGGAUUUGGAAUGAGGUCAGCUCUUGUGUGCUACUCUGCCCCAUCAAACUUGAACAUAUACAGUGGAAAUCUAGACAUUUUAUUUCCUUAACAAGGAGACUUUUCAAGAAAUAAAGAGCAAAAGUACAGGGAUAUAGCACUGCCAAUCAGUAAGAAUGCAGAAGAAGACAAGAAACAAUUCAUAAAUCAUGCAUGUGAUAUGUAUGUAGUUGCCUACCUUUUAUUCAAGAUGACUGCAUUUUGCUUCUUACCUUUCUUGUGUCUUGCCAGCAUAGCUUUUCUUUUCCUACCAUUUCUUGACAAGCUUCCAGAGAAGAUCUCAGGUGCUUAAUUUUGUCACUGUAUUGGGUUUUCACUGCCAUUACAGCUUGCUCCUAUCAACAGAUUAUGGUGAGGAAAAUAAUCUUUAAUGACAGCUAUAGGGGGAGAAAAUAAUCCUCUGAAUUUAAACAUCUGGAUUAUGCUGCUUCUUUUUUUGUAAUAUGCAUUUGAUAACAACCUGACUUUCUAUAGUAGUUUACUUGAUUGGGGAUACACCAGGAAAUCAGGGAUUCAAAACUUUGACCUUUACAUAGUUGCCUACAUUAUCAAAAGAUUUUGACAAGUAUCACAGGACCAAGAAUGGGAAAACAAUUUAAAUAAAUCAAUAAAUGGCCCAAGUCACAUAA
Molecule: long non-coding RNA, 1511 nt
Organism: Thamnophis elegans (Western terrestrial garter snake)
Lineage: Eukaryota; Metazoa; Chordata; Lepidosauria; Squamata; Natricidae
Exons: 2
Source: RefSeq, a predicted model, not a curated record